AUUGAACGCUGGCGGCAUGCCUUACACAUGCAAGUCGAACGGUAACAGAUCUUCGGAUGCUGACGAGUGGCGAACGGGUGAGUAAUACAUCGGAACGUGCCCAGUCGUGGGGGAUAACGUAGCGAAAGUUACGCUAAUACCGCAUACGAUCUAUGGAUGAAAGCGGGGGAUCGCAAGACCUCGCGCGAUUGGAGCGGCCGAUGUCAGAUUAGGUAGUUGGUGGGGUAAAGGCCUACCAAGCCGACGAUCUGUAGCUGGUCUGAGAGGACGACCAGCCACACUGGGACUGAGACACGGCCCAGACUCCUACGGGAGGCAGCAGUGGGGAAUUUUGGACAAUGGGCGCAAGCCUGAUCCAGCCAUUCCGCGUGCAGGAUGAAGGCCUUCGGGUUGUAAACUGCUUUUGUACGGAACGAAAGGCUCUGGUUAAUACCGGGGCUCAUGACGGUACCGUAAGAAUAAGCACCGGCUAACUACGUGCCAGCAGCCGCGGUAA
RNAcentral lists this ribosomal RNA (496 nucleotides) under uncultured bacterium. RNAcentral's name for it is "bacterial SSU rRNA". It matches the Rfam family "Bacterial small subunit ribosomal RNA", at positions 30 to 523 of the family's 1533-position model. The record is from RNAcentral.